This 165-nucleotide ribosomal RNA is filed under the name uncultured bacterium. Its description in RNAcentral is "partial 16S rRNA". It matches the Rfam family "Bacterial small subunit ribosomal RNA", at positions 355 to 511 of the family's 1533-position model. The record is from RNAcentral.
UAGGGAAUCUUCGGCAAUGAACGAAAGUCUGACCGAGCAACGCCGCGUGAGUGAAGAAGGUUUUCGGAUCGUAAAACUCUGUUGGUAGAGAAGAACGUUGGUGAGAGUGGAAAGCUCAUCAAGUGACGGUAACUACCCAGAAAGGGACGGCUAACUACGUGCCAA